AUAAAUGUUGUGUCAUAUCUUUCAAUUUAGCAAGAUCCUCAUGAUUUCUAAAUCGAAAUUUUUCGAGGGAUAUUUUGCAUAAAUUUUGAUUGACGGAUGCGAUUGUCGUUCUUUCUGUUAGUAUCAUCUGAAAUUUAUGAUCGGAGACCUUGUAGUUCUUAUUGCAAUCUUGCACAUUAAAGUUGCAAAUUUCGAUAAGACUUCCUUCACAUAGGUGAGCUCCAAAUUUUUCAAUAAGAGAAUGAUGUACAGAGCCUUGAAUUGUAUUUUCCUAUUUUUAAAUAAAUAAAAGUUAAGGAAAUUAAAUAGGAGAAUAUUUAGGUUUAAUGAAUAAAAUAAAAUACAUUAAAAAUUUACUUUUUCAUCAAGUAAGAGGAAGUUUAUUCCUAUGAGCUCAUUGUUUUUUUUUAAAUAUCUCGCUUCCCACUUUUUUGUUAAACGUACUAUCGUUCGACGAUAGGAACGCUUUUUGUUAAGCUGAUCUAUUGUUAUGCAAUCUUUGUUGGUAUGUUGAACUUGUGUCUUCAUCUUUUGGACCAAUUGGGACAAAUUGUGUUGAAGAACCAACUACAGAACAAUAGCAAAUUCAUCUGGUAACAUAAAGCAAUAGAAUAAGAAGAGGAGAAAGAAAAAAACUGACCUUGUGGUCACCACCGCCUGUAGCAAACCUUUCUCCAUUAGGUUGAACAUCAAUGGAGAAUAUCUGUAACCCUUCAUGUUUAACCCAAAAGGGUUUCUCCGCAAUCAUCUCUCUUCUGCCCAAUUCGAACUAAAACUCGAAAAAUAGAAAAACCAAGAUUCAAGACAGAAACUUUAUUGAGAUCACACCCAUGAACAAGCUCAAGGAAGUUACAGAGACUCAGCAAAAACACGAAUUUAUGGACGAAACCAAAAACCCAGAAAGCUACGAAAGAGAGAAGAUACUAAAGAACUGAAACGGUGAAGGAGAGAAUGAAGUCAAUUUCGAGGUUAAUUUUUCUUCCUCAAUUCGGUAAAAUUUUCUUUUAAAAACCCUAAUUUUUCGUUGUUAGCAGAGAGACAAAGUAGAAAAGACUUUAACAUUUGGGCUAAAUGUGACAAAUUUGGAAGACAGAGUUUGUGUUUUGUGAGAAGAAUAAAAACCCUACCUUUGGAGACAAAGAGCUCUUCGACUUCUUUCUAAGAUUCUCGAUUAAGUUUUUUCAAUCUAAAAUACAAAUUACAAUUGUUUGUGUGAAGUCUCUAUUUCAAUAAAAAAGAUAAUAAUUAUUGGUAAUGCAACUCCCAAUGUUAGAUGUUUGCUAAUGACUUAACUAGCUUAAAAGCAUUCUCACAUUUUCUUGCUUUCAAAUUGGCUUCAUCUCUAGGUCAUUUAGUGACAAACCCUUGUGAUCGGCCAAUCUUGGUCAUAUAAUCCUCGAACCCACGGUUUAGACGCAUUCCACUGCCUUGAUCAUCUGGUUUGGUCAUCACGACCCUCAAACACACGGUUCGGCCUGUUUUGGUCAUCUCAACGCUCGAACUAACGAUUCAGCACAGUUAGGUCAUCAUGACCGUUGAUAUGUAGCCAUCAUUACCAACUCACAACCCACUCAUUAUUUUACACUCAACCCCAACCCACUUUACUAAAAAGCCUGUGAAAAUUUUAAAUAUUUGGGCCUAUUUAUAAAACAUUAGGUUUUACAAAUAAAUCUAACUUUUGAAAUGGGCCUAACUUAAGUAAGAAAUGUGAAAUUUAAAUAUUUGUGACUAUUGUUAAGGCUUUUUAAAAUAAAGUUAAAUCGUUUUGAAUUUUGCGGCCUAAUUUUAUUUGUAAUUGUUUUUACAAGAUUAAUUUUUGAAAAUUAACAGAAGAUCUAUGGACCGUCGCGCUUAUGCCUAAUUGUUUGGCUUGGACCCGUUUACAUCCAAAGAAACCAUCAUUUUCCACCCAAAACAAUAAACAUUUUUCACCAUUCAUCAUUUUUUACCAUUAAUUUAGUCAUAUUUACGUAAUAAUUAUUCAUUUAAUACUUUUUAUAAUCAAUACAUUUCAUACACGAGUAAGUUAAUUAAAGGGUCAUUUUGAAAAAUACCAUGUUUUUGAGUUAUACUUUGAAAAUACCCCUUUUUCCUAUUUUUAAUGAAAACUACAAUCUUUUAUAUAUAAAAAUGAUAGUUUGGUAUUAACUUAAAUUUAAAGCUACAUUUUUAAUAAAUCAAAACUAAAUUCGAAAUUUAGAGAAAAAAAAUUCAAUAUUAAUACGAAUUAUAUAUAUUUUUAACACAAAGAUGGUUUAUUAAUUUUAUAUAUUUAAAUUUAACAAGAUAACAUCUAAAAAUAUUAUAAAAUCUUUCACUCAAUAUUUUUCAUGUUAUAUAAAGUAAAAUAAUCUCCAACACUCCAAGCACAUUUUUCAACUUAACACAUAUCACAAAACUUUGCUUCAAUUCAAUGAUUCUCUUUGAUUUUUUUUGUGUGAAAUAAACUAUUUUAUAUGUUUUCUACAUCAAAACAAUACCAUAUGACUUCACAAAAAUCAUGACUUAAUAUCGGUAGAAUGUUGUUAUUUAUUAUUGUUUAAAAAAUAAUUUAUGAUAGUAAAUUUUCGGAAUUGUUAGUUAUAUAAAAUUUUUGUAAAAAUUAAUUUUAAUUAUUGUCAAUAAAUUGAUGUUCUAUUUAAAAUAUAGAUAUUUUGAUUAAUUGUUAUUAAGUUUAAGUAAAUUUUAGUAACUUUACAUAUUUAAAAAUAGUUUUUAAAAGAAAUUAAAGAAAAGGUAUUUUUUUAAAAAGUGUAAACAAAAAAGGGCAUUUUCCCAAAUUUACUCUUACUUAAAUAUGUCACAAUCUAACACGAAUAUAACCAUAUUUUACUCACCAUUAUUUAGGUAAAAAAAACAACUGUAAAAAAAUUCUAGAUAAUUUAAUGAGAAGAAACCAUUAUUUACAGUCCCUGUUCUAAAAAUUCCCGCUUAAUCGCUAGGCCCACCCGCCUAAUCUGAUUACUCCCCGCCUAAUCUUACAUAUUCCGAUUAUUUUUAGAUUGCAAGUAUAAAAAAAACUUUUUAUUUUUGUUAUUCAAUCAUUUGAAUUGGGAGUUUGUGAUGUUUUACAAUAACUUAUGUUCAAAUUUUAAUAAAAAUCAUAAAUUUUUAGUAAAAAUCAUAAAGUUUUAAUAAAAAUCAUAAAAAUUUGUCUCAAAAAUGCAUUUUUAUAUAUUUACUACAAUUUUGAAAACAAUAUUAGAUUAAUAUAUUUUAAAAAUAUUAAAAUAACCUUAAAACCAGUUCCUGAUUAAUCCCCGAUUUUAAUCUAAUUUUCCGAUUAAUCGCUAGGCCCAUACCGAGCGCCCGACUAGCGACUAGUUGUGUUUUUUUAGGGCACCAUUAUUUACGAAACCGCCUAAGCAACACUUAACACUAUAUAUAAGAUGACUAUUGAUUUGAGUGAAUAUGUGUUCGUCCAAUUAUAUAGAACUAGAUAUGGACCCGUGCGUUGCACGGGUUGCCGGUCGAAAUUAUCAUUCUUAACUUUUAAUUUUAUUUUUGUAAGUAUAACUAAAAUUAUAUAAACAUAUAUAUUUUAGAUAAUGCAGCAUUUUAAUUAUUUUUUAAAUAUAGAUUUAUAAUGCAUAUUGCACAAUAUAAAAUACUAUUUGUAGUAAUGCAGCAUGUUAUACUAAUUAUUAAAUCAUCUAAUAUAAAUUUGCCUUAUUUAUAAAAUUAUAUAAUAUUUUUUGCUUAUUAUAAGUUAUGAAGUCAUAAAUGUUCAUACGCUGUAUUAUUGAAUUUUAAUAAGUUAUUUACAUCUAUCGGAAGAGUGUAUUACACCUUAUAAUUUCUAUGUGUGCAAGAUGGAAAUAAAUUGUGACAAUAAGAAAAGAUGAAAUUAUAUAGUUACGUGGUAUUGUCAAUUUUUGGCUCAUAUUACCCAUUUCUUCGUUUUCUCUCUAUUCUUUCUGCUCGCCGGCGAGAAAUUCUUAACUCUCUAUUUUUCUCAUUAAAUUUCUCUUAUUUUUGCUUGAACUCCUCUUUCUUUCUCUUUCUCUCCCUCUUUCCCCUAUCUCCAUUUCUUCUCUUCGUCGGACAUCACCACCGAGUCUCACUACUCUGACCCACCACCACAAAUAAAUCUCACUACUAUCACAAUCACCACCACCAUCAAUACCGAAUCUCGCUAAUUUCGAUCCACUACUUUCAUCAACAUUUAUCGCCAUCAAUACCGAAUCUCGCUACCUUCUUAGAGUAGGUGUAUCAUGAGUACGAACAUCAGAUUUGUCGAUUUUUUUUUAUGUAGCCAAUUACAUCUGAAUGGAAAACAAUGUUUAAUAUAAAUAAAUUUAUAUUUAUAAAAAUUUGAAAUUUAAAAUUCAGAAUAUUUACCGUAUAAAUGUUGUGUCAUAUCUUUCAAUUUAGCAAGAUCCUCAUGAUUUCUAAAUCGAAAUUUUUCGAGGGAUAUUUUGCAUAAAUUUUGAUCGACGGAUGCGAUUGUCGUUCUUUCUGUUAGUAUCAUCUGAAAUUUAUGAUGGGAGACCUUGUAGUUCUUAUUGCAAUCUUGCACAUUAAAGUUGCAAAUUUCGAUGAGACUUUCUUCACAUAGGUGAGCUCCAAAUUUUUCAAUAAGAGAAUGAUGUACAGAGCCUUGAAUUGUAUUUUCCUAUUUUUAAAUAAAUAAAAGUUAAAGAAAUUAAAUAGGAGAAUAUUUAGGUUUAAUGAAUAAAA
RNAcentral lists this long non-coding RNA (4680 nucleotides) under Arabidopsis lyrata. RNAcentral's name for it is "long non-coding RNA (ALYR_LNC000568)". Lineage: Eukaryota; Viridiplantae; Streptophyta; Magnoliopsida; Brassicales; Brassicaceae. The record is from RNAcentral.